GUCUAAAUAAUAUAAAUAUUAUAUUUAACUUCCAAUUAAAAAAUCCACUGGGUUUAGAUA
RNAcentral lists this transfer RNA (60 nucleotides) under unidentified. RNAcentral describes it as "Wallacea dactyliferae tRNA-Gly". The record is from RNAcentral.